This 2428-nucleotide long non-coding RNA is filed under the name Nicotiana benthamiana. RNAcentral's name for it is "long non-coding RNA (NBEN_LNC031687)". The record is from RNAcentral. Lineage: Eukaryota; Viridiplantae; Streptophyta; Magnoliopsida; Solanales; Solanaceae.
UCAUCAUCCAAUGGUCCAUAUUAGUUCAAGACAUUAAAUAAAAUUGACUGAAUUAGAGAUAACCCUAGAGACAAACUUAUCUUCCUCGUACGUCUGUUCUCCGCCAAACCUCCACCUCACCACCGCCGGUCGGAAAUCGUCUCUGUCAGCGGGCUAUCUCCAAACCCACCCAAAUUUACACCCCUGAAUCCCCUCCACCUCCUCCUAUUUCCAAUGCCCAAAACACCAGCCUUCAAAUAUUAAAAACUGUGGAUGCGGCCUCCGCCGCCCACGGCGACGCCACCACCAAACGACCCCAAUUUUACUCCAUAGCCCCGUAUUCACCUUUCCGUACCAUAUUCACCCUUAUCUUCCCUCGGAUUUCAGCUAGUUCCUUCGAAUUUCAAAUCGAAAGUCUGGACCAAAACACCGGCUCACCCAAAUCCGACCAAAUUUACACGGUGUACCCUCCUUUCCCCUCUCUUCCCGAAUUCCAAACCAAUUCCUUACUAAUCUAGCCAGAAUCUUUCGAAUAUUGGAAUUUAGGGUUCAAACUCGAGGUCUGAAAGAAUUUCGGCUAGGCACAGGUGUUCAAGUGUCAUUCAACCGUAAAAAUUGGUUGAUAGUAUCGUUUGAGUUUUUGAAACUCAAAGCAGAUCGAGGUUAGUGAGUUUAUUUUCUUUUGUUUAUUUCAUUCUGAAUAUCACAUCCUCUCUUUAAGAUUGUUUUAGAUUUAUUUUUAGGGCUUUAAUGAGUUAUUCUUCUCUUGAAUCUAUUCUUUUUCUUUUUUGGUUUUAAUUCCUAUGCCGUUUGUUUUGAUAAUCUGGUUUGUUUGAUUGUGUAUUCGACUAGUUGAUCUUUAUAGUUUCCUGCUCGUAUGAUUUAAGUUUGUUUAUUUAAUUUGAUUUUGUAUUUCAAACCUGUUUUUGUUACAGUCUUGAUAGUCUUUAAUCAAUCCUGUGUAAGGCAUUGUUUGACUUUGAUUUGUUUAGUUUAGGAUAGUUUAGUUCAGUAUUAAUUAGUAGUUAAUCUUUAAGUUCAGUUUUUGUCCUCAAGAAAUUAAUAGGUUUAGUUUAGUUAAUUUGGUUAUAGCUGAAUUAGAUUGAUUGGUCAACCGUGGUUAAUAACAGGGUUGCGGGUUUCGGUUAACUCAGAUUUGGUAAUAUCAGAUGAAGGGGAGAUCAAUUUAUGUAUUCCAGUAAUAGGAUCUUGCAGUAACUGAAAUAGAACUCCUAGAACCUUCUAGAUUGGGUUAAAUUUGAAAUUUCAGGCUUUAAUUGAUAUAAAUUGGCCAACAAGUCAAGAACCUAAGGGCUAACUGAGUAAAACUGAAGAAAUAAGAGAAGGACUAAAGGUAAAAAAAAAUAGGAAAGGUUUCCCUAAGCUUUGCCUAUAAAAAGGCAUACCAUUGCCUUCUUUCACAAGUUUAGAACCCUGAAAAAUUCCCCAAAAAGUUGGAAAGACCCUGAAAAUUCCCAAGAAUUUCCAGUUUUUCUUCUGCAAGUUCUAUUAGCAAAAUUGAAUUUCAACUUCAAGGAAGAUAAAAAUCUGAACACUUAGUGUAGAAACACUGCUAUAUUGAAGUCUCUAGGGUAAUUUCGAGUUCUAGCCAUUGAUUUUCAUUUCCUAGCUCGACUCACAACUGUUGAAGCUUCAAAAGUGUUAUGGGUUCAAAUUCGAAUCAUUUGUUGAGUGUAUUGGAGCUGUUUUAGUAGUUUCAUUGGUUUAAAUUGAUUCUGGGUGGUUGAUACUGCUUUUAUGAGUUUGUGAGCCUUUGAUCUGCUGUAAUGUGCUGCUGAACUACUGCUGACAUCUCUCUUCUCCUUUGUUUCAUUGUAAUUCCAGGUACACACCUUUGAAUUUGCCAUGAUCUAGCUUUGAAUUGGAGUGAAAUGACAAGCAUGCAUUAGAUUUGUGUUCAUUUGGGAUUCUACUGUACAUACAAUUAAAUAGAUGUUAGUUAGUAUGUAAUUAUCUAGUAUUUGCUUAUAGACUGGACUAUUGGACUAUUAAGUUGUAUUGGGCUGCUAUAUUUAUUAGCUUAGUAUGAUUGUAUUUGGUGACUAGGUCAACUGUCAAUAUUAGUAACAAUAUAGAUAUAGAAGUUGACCUUAGAUCUUCAUUUGUAGUUAAUAAUUCAACAGAUAAACAGCUGUGAGAAAUUAUUGCAUGUUCCUAAGUGAAAAUCAGGUCGUGGAUUGUUUGGUAUUGGUUUGAUAAAAUAAUUCGAGCAUUAAGCUGUGUUUUCAACUGAAAUUGCGAUUAUAGACUGCCAUAGGCUUAUGCAUUCGAAUCUGAAGCUUACGAGUUUAAAUCUGAAGAUCAAGUUAUUUGUCAUUCACACCUACUGCUUUAAAGUUCGAUAUUAUAGAUAUUUAGCUGAAAUGGAUCUGAUUUAAAUACAUCUAUUGAGUUGAGUUUGUUUACAUUAAUUGCAACGGACCAGUCC